This 440-nucleotide ribosomal RNA is filed under the name uncultured bacterium. Its description in RNAcentral is "partial 16S ribosomal RNA". It matches the Rfam family "Bacterial small subunit ribosomal RNA", at positions 338 to 795 of the family's 1533-position model. The record is from RNAcentral.
CCUACGGGUGGCAGCAGUGGGGGAUAUUGCACAAUGGGGGGAACCCUGAUGCAGCGACGCCGCGUGAGUGAAGAAGUAAUUCGUUAUGUAAAGCUCUAUCAGCAGGGAAGAAAAUGACGGUACCUGAGUAAGAAGCCCCGGCUAACUACGUGCCAGCAGCCGCGGUAAUACGUAGGGGGCAAGCGUUAUCCGGAUUUACUGGGUGUAAAGGGAGCGUAGACGGCAGUGCAAGUCUGGAGUGAAAGGCGGGGGCUCAACCCCCGGACUGCUCUGGAAACUGUACGGCUGGAGUGCGGGAGGGGCAGGCAGAAUUCCUGGUGUAGUGGUGAAGUGCGUAGAUAUCAGGAGGAACACCGGCGGCGAAGGCGGCCUGCUGGACCGCGACUGACGUUGAGGCUCGAAAGCGUGGGGAGCGAACAGGAUUAGAUACCCUUGUAGUC